RNAcentral lists this ribosomal RNA (590 nucleotides) under Lodderomyces parapsilosis. Its description in RNAcentral is "Candida parapsilosis partial large subunit ribosomal RNA". It matches the Rfam family "Eukaryotic large subunit ribosomal RNA", at positions 49 to 655 of the family's 3401-position model. Lineage: Eukaryota; Fungi; Ascomycota; Pichiomycetes; Serinales; Debaryomycetaceae. The record is from RNAcentral.
AGCGGAGGAAAAGAAACCAACAGGGAUUGCCUUAGUAGCGGCGAGUGAAGCGGCAAAAGCUCAAAUUUGAAAUCUGGCACUUUCAGUGUCCGAGUUGUAAUUUGAAGAAGGUAUCUUUGGGUCUGGCUCUUGUCUAUGUUUCUUGGAACAGAACGUCACAGAGGGUGAGAAUCCCGUGCGAUGAGAUGUCCCAGACCUAUGUAAAGUUCCUUCGAAGAGUCGAGUUGUUUGGGAAUGCAGCUCUAAGUGGGUGGUAAAUUCCAUCUAAAGCUAAAUAUUGGCGAGAGACCGAUAGCGAACAAGUACAGUGAUGGAAAGAUGAAAAGAACUUUGAAAAGAGAGUGAAAAAGUACGUGAAAUUGUUGAAAGGGAAGGGCUUGAGAUCAGACUUGGUAUUUUGUAUGUUACUCUCUCGGGGGUGGCCUCUACAGUUUACCGGGCCAGCAUCAGUUUGAGCGGUAGGAUAAGUGCAAAGAAAUGUGGCACUGCUUCGGUAGUGUGUUAUAGUCUUUGUCGAUACUGCCAGCUUAGACUGAGGACUGCGGCUUCGGCCUAGGAUGUUGCAAGACUGAUCUUAAGUCGCCCGUCUU